Molecule: small RNA, 1043 nt
Filed under: Rattus norvegicus (Norway rat)
Lineage: Eukaryota; Metazoa; Chordata; Mammalia; Rodentia; Muridae
Description: uncharacterized LOC102548950
Source: RNAcentral
UGCAAAGCCUGAUCCGACACCUUCUAGGAUCAAAACAAAAGAGAAAAAUCCUCCAUCUUCUUGUCUUACCCAUCCAAACCGGCUGUUAGCCCGGGUAGCACAGCAUCGCUGAGGGCUGAGCCCGUUUGCGAUUUUCUGGGCUUACCACACUUCUGUCAUGUAGGAAGUGAUUUUGACUAGUCGGGGCAGGUUCUCUAUUGUCCUGGACACGGUGGCAGUGAUUCACAGCUCAGGGAUUUGCAAUACUCUAUUGCUGCAUGUUCUUUCUUCCUUCUUCCUAAUGAUGCAUUCAAUUGAAGAAUUCAUCCUUGGGUAUUUGUGCUGACAUGGACAGAAAACAGAAGUCAAAACAUCGUAAUAGUUAACGAGAUUGUUCUGGUGAGACGCUUUGGACCAGCACAGCAGGAGGAGACACGUUAUGAAGUCUGGAUCAUUACAGUGAGCCUGAGUAUGAAUGGCUGAGUGUUACUACACACAUCCCACAGAUCAGUGGAUGAUAGUUAGACCACACAUCACGACUGGCAACAGAGUGUGAACAGGAGGGGAACAAUUUCUCAGAUGUGAUGGCUACCAUCUACAAGAGCAAAAAUAAGUCCCAUUUCCCACUCUAGGAAUCUACCUACUGGGCAGAGACAAAUUGGACUUGUAGGAACAAAUUGUUCAGUCUGUCCCCACCAGGUCCAAACACAAUAGCUUGUGGGUAAAAAGACAUGUUUCGUCUGGUUGAUGCUGGAAGGCUGCCUGGAGGAGGCUAGAUUUGAGGUGAGUGAAGGAUGGGCAAGACUUUUACAAGUGUUUGCAAGGACAAAGUGAUCUGGGUGGAACUUCAGAGAAAUACAGAUUCCUAGGUUUGACAUCAGCCUCCCAGGGAUGAGGCCCUGUGCAUGCAGCUGGGAUGUGAAACUGGAAUUAGGGGCCAGUCAGGAGGCUCAGGUCCGUUGAGAGACUAUGAACAGACAUUUGAGGGGACAUCUUGGAGCUGUGAUUGGGCGAGCUAGUUAUUUCUCAGCUAAUCAGAAGAAUUAAAUGAAGCGGGGGUUGGG